Molecule: long non-coding RNA, 1197 nt
Organism: Bos grunniens (domestic yak)
Lineage: Eukaryota; Metazoa; Chordata; Mammalia; Artiodactyla; Bovidae
Source: Ensembl
AUGCUCCUCCACUGGGCCCUAUUGACUACACCGGCUCAAUGUGAACUCUCUACCUUCUGCUUCACGUCUUCUCCCUUUGGCUCCACCAGAAGGCGCAAGCAGCUCCUCUGGCGGGAUGAAGAAGGGGGAGUGGUAGCCGGUUUGAAGGAAGGGGGAGAGGGAGGAGUAAGUAGGACAGGGCCCCUUAAAGGGGCGGGUCAAUCCCGCCGGGCCCCGCCCCCUGGGGCGGCGCAGGCGCAGGCGGGCUCCAGGAACUCCGGCGGGAGGGCGGGCGCUCCUGGCUCUUGGGCCGGCGCGCUGGGCCGCAGCACCUGCGGGGGCCGGCGCAGGGCGCGGCGCCCGGCGGGCGGACCUCGACGCCCAGGAGCGAGGGCAGGGAGCCGGGACCGGGACGGGGGGCGGAGCGGGAGGGGACGCUACCCCGCAGCCCCCUCCCCCGGGGGACGGGGCGGAAGCAGUCGGGCGCGGGGAGGUGUGAGCGGACGCCGAGGACAGCACCAUCUGGAGGGGCGGGACCGCGCGGCCUCUGGGGGGCAGGCGAGUGCGUUGGGCAGUGCCGGCUGGGGGCCCCAGGCGGGGAGUUGUGCAGGAAGAGCGCGGCGGGCUCAGCCCAGGGCUGCCGGAGCAGCAGCCGCAGCUGGUCGGGGUUCUCAGCUGGGGCCCGCAGCAGCUCCGCGGGCUGAAGCUCGGCGUGGAGGAGCAGGGGGGCGUGGGUCCGGCGGUGCAGGAGGAGGGCGGGGUGGGCCCGGGGGUGCAGGAGCGGGGCGGCCGAGGCCACGAGCCCAGUCUGGGGGUGGUGUGGGGGCCGCCGGACGGCGCGGACUGGAGGCGCCCGCCGCCGUGGACUGGCUCCGCGGGCUGGCCGGUGGUGCAGGAGGAGGGGCUGGGGCCCCGCAAGCAGCACCAGGAGAAAGGGGAAAGCAGCCCCGCAGUGCAGGAGCGGGGGGAGGCCCGCACCGGGGUGCAGGAACGGGGGGAGGGGAGCCCACGUCGGCUGCUGCAGCAGCCCGAGCAGCUGUCCGAGUUCGGGGAGGGCUCUUGGGAGCGCAGAGACGAGCUCGAAAGUUCCGGGGAGCAGUACUGGGAGAGCUGCGGGCACCUCAGACGGGAGGCGGUGGUCCUGGGAGAGGUCCCGGCCCGUCGCAAGAGACUCGAACUGCUGGGGAGGGCCCGGCCAGUGGGGCCCCGGGGGCCUGA